UACGUAGGUGGCAAGCGUUGUCCGGAAUUAUUGGGCGUAAAGCGCGCGCAGGCGGUCCUUUAAGUCUGAUGUGAAAGCCCACGGCUCAACCGUGGAGGGUCAUUGGAAACUGGGGGACUUGAGUACAGAAGAGAAGAGUGGAAUUCCACGUGUAGCGGCGAAAUGCGUAGAGAUGUGGAGGAACACCAGUGGCGAAGGCGACUCUUUGGUCUGUAACUGACGCUGAGGCGCGAAAGCGUGGGGAGCAAACAGG
RNAcentral lists this ribosomal RNA (253 nucleotides) under uncultured bacterium. RNAcentral describes it as "partial 16S ribosomal RNA". It matches the Rfam family "Bacterial small subunit ribosomal RNA", at positions 524 to 776 of the family's 1533-position model. The record is from RNAcentral.